AAAGUCGUAACAAGGUUUCCGUAGGUGAACCUGCGGAAGGAUCAUUAACACGUAUCCACGUAUAUAAACAACUCUGUGAACCCGUAACAAGAUGUUGGUCAUGACUUAGUGAUAGGCGUACCCAUUCUCAUUAGGGUGGAAUGCGCGUCAUGAUUCUGGGGAGUCCAUCCCGAUACGACUUGUUUUCAUUCUCUAUCGCUACAACCAUUUUUAACCAUUUUAACCUUUAACACAUUCUGACUGAUGUACGUAUGUAAGAGAAAUCUGGCAUUCGUCUUUUAUCUAAACUAAGCACAACUCUUAGCAAUGGAUAUCUUGGUUCUC
RNAcentral lists this unclassified non-coding RNA (324 nucleotides) under Basidiomycota sp. RNAcentral describes it as "partial contains small subunit ribosomal RNA, internal transcribed spacer 1, and 5.8S ribosomal RNA". The stretch from base 1 to 47 matches the Rfam family "Eukaryotic small subunit ribosomal RNA", at positions 1785 to 1831 of the family's 1831-position model. The record is from RNAcentral. Lineage: Eukaryota; Fungi; Basidiomycota.